RNAcentral lists this transfer RNA (73 nucleotides) under Ipomoea nil (Japanese morning glory). It matches the Rfam family "tRNA". Rfam says of the family: Transfer RNA (tRNA) molecules are approximately 80 nucleotides in length. Lineage: Eukaryota; Viridiplantae; Streptophyta; Magnoliopsida; Solanales; Convolvulaceae. The record is from Rfam by way of RNAcentral.
UUCGUUGUAGUCUAGUUGGUUAGGAUACUCGGUUCUCACCCAAGAAACCCGAGUUCGAUUCCCGACAACGGAA